AUUCACAUUACUAUAAGACGUGUCACGGUACUUAUCUAUCCCAAAUUCUUGUAUUUGGUUUCAAUGUUAUAUUUGUUAUUCGCAUAUGAUUUUGUCGAAUGCUUAGUCCGGUUCUGUGUGUGUGUGUGUGUGUGUGUGUGUGUUACAUUUUAAUGUUAUGUCGUUGUUCUCUUAUAUUUGAUGCGUUUCCAUCAGUUUGUUACCCCG
Molecule: long non-coding RNA, 207 nt
Filed under: Mytilus galloprovincialis (Mediterranean mussel)
Lineage: Eukaryota; Metazoa; Mollusca; Bivalvia; Mytilida; Mytilidae
Source: RNAcentral